AUCGUCUGCAUAUAUGUG
Molecule: unclassified non-coding RNA, 18 nt
Filed under: Mus musculus (house mouse)
Lineage: Eukaryota; Metazoa; Chordata; Mammalia; Rodentia; Muridae
Description: oocyte_clustered_small_RNA12046
Source: RNAcentral